AGGCAGCAGUGGGGAAUUUUGGACAAUGGGGGCAACCCUGAUCCAGCCAUGCCGCGUGCGGGAAGAAGGCCUUCGGGUUGUAAACCGCUUUUGUCCGGGAAGAAAAGGCUCAGGCUAAUACUCUGGGUUCUUGACGGUACUGGAAGAAUAAGCACCGGCUAACUACGUGCCAGCAGCCGCGGUAAUACGUAGGGUGCGAGCGUUAAUCGGAAUUACUGGGCGUAAAGCGUGCGUAGGCGGUUCGUUAAGUCUGAUGUGAAAGCCCACGGCUCAACCGUGGAGGGUCAUUGGAAACUGGGGGACUUGAGUGCAGAAGAGGAGAGUGGAAUUCCACGUGUAGCGGUGAAAUGCGUAGAGAUGUGGAGGAACACCAGUGGCGAAGGCGACUCUCUGGUCUGUAACUGACGCUGAGGCGCGAAAGCGUGGGGAGCAAACAGGAUUAGAUACCCUGGUAGUCCACGCCGUAAACGAUGAGUGCUAAGUGUUAGAGGGUUUCCGCCCUUUAGUGCUGCAGCUAACGCAUUAAGCACUCCGCCUGGGGAGUACGGCCGCAAGGCUGAAACUUAAAGGAAUUGACGG
Molecule: ribosomal RNA, 579 nt
Filed under: uncultured bacterium
Lineage: Bacteria
Description: bacterial SSU rRNA
Rfam family: Bacterial small subunit ribosomal RNA
Source: RNAcentral